This 253-nucleotide ribosomal RNA is filed under the name uncultured bacterium. RNAcentral describes it as "partial 16S ribosomal RNA". It matches the Rfam family "Bacterial small subunit ribosomal RNA", at positions 524 to 776 of the family's 1533-position model. The record is from RNAcentral.
UACGUAGGGUGCAAGCGUUUAUCCGGAAUUAUUGGGCGUAAAGAGCUCGUAGGCGGUUUGUCGCGUCUGCUGUGAAAACCGGAGGCUCAACCUCCGCCUGCAGUGGGUACGGGCAAACUAGAGUGCGGUAGGGGAGAUUGGAAUUCCUGGUGUAGCGGUGGAAUGCGCAGAUAUCAGGAGGAACACCGAUGGCGAAGGCAGAUCUCUGGGCCGUAACUGACGCUGAGGAGCGAAAGCGUGGGGAGCGAACAGG